This 433-nucleotide ribosomal RNA is filed under the name uncultured bacterium. Its description in RNAcentral is "partial 16S ribosomal RNA". It matches the Rfam family "Bacterial small subunit ribosomal RNA", at positions 29 to 507 of the family's 1533-position model. The record is from RNAcentral.
AACGAACGCUGGCGGCAUGCCUAAUACAUGCAAGUCGAACGAGAUCUUCGGAUCUAGUGGCGCACGGGUGCGUAACGCGUGGGAAUCUGCCCUUGGGUUCGGAAUAACUUCUGGAAACGGAAGCUAAUACCGGAUGAUGACGUAAGUCCAAAGAUUUAUCGCCCAAGGAUGAGCCCGCGUAGGAUUAGGUAGUUGGUGAGGUAAAGGCUCACCAAGCCGACGAUCCUUAGCUGGUCUGAGAGGAUGAUCAGCCACACUGGGACUGAGACACGGCCCAGACUCCUACGGGAGGCAGCAGUAGGGAAUAUUGGACCAUGGGCGAAAGCCUGAUCCAGCAAGGCCGCGUGAGUGAUGAAGGCCUUAGGGUUGUAAAGCUCUUUUACCCGGGAUGAUAAUGACAGUACCGGGAGAAUAAGCUCCGGCUAACUCCGUG